This 321-nucleotide ribosomal RNA is filed under the name uncultured eukaryote. Its description in RNAcentral is "partial 18S ribosomal RNA". It matches the Rfam family "Eukaryotic small subunit ribosomal RNA", at positions 1470 to 1796 of the family's 1831-position model. The record is from RNAcentral.
CCCUUAGAUGUUCUGGGCCGCACGCGUGCUACACUGAGUGGAUCAGCGGGUCAGGUUGCGCGAAAGUGUUUCCUAAUCUUGAAAUCCCUCGUGAUGGGGAUUGACGGUUGCAAUUUUCCGUCAUGAACGAGGAAUACCUUGUAAGCGCGGGUCAUCAUCCCGCGCUGAAUACGUCCCUGCCCUUUGUACACACCGCCCGUCGCUCCUACCGAUUGAGUGGUCCGGUGAGGCUUUGGGAUCUGAGCAAAGAGAGCGCUUCGCUCGUUUUGCCCGGAAAACUCAGUCGAACCUUAUCAUUUAGAGGAAGGAGAAGUCGUAACA